AGUAUGGUAUGAUAUGAUAUAUCGGUACAGUAUGGUAUGCUUCAUUCCAAAUGAUAUAGAGUGGUACAGUAAAUACUACUUGACCUUAGUUAUAUCAUAGACUAAUGAGGUCUUUUCAUCUCAUUACCCAUCUAUUUUUGAUAUUCACUUGAUCUGCAAAGAACUUGAUUACUUCUAUGCACCUAUGUCUAUUGGGAAGCAAACCACAUUGCCGAUCAUAUGACUAUGGUGUUCUGCUUCAUGGAGAACUACUAUCUAGACCUUGGAUUUCUCUUCUGAGAGUUUGAAGGCACAUGUUGGUUAUGUUUGAAAUACUUGAAGGCACAGUAAAUACUACUUGACCUUAGCUAUAUCAUAGACUAAUGAGGUCUUUUCAUCUCAUUACCCAUCUAUUUUUGAUAUUCACUUGAUCUGCAAAGAAGUUCAUUACUUCUAUGCACCUAUGUCUAUCGGGAAGCAAACCACAUUGCCGAUCAUAUGACUAUGGCGUUCUGCUUCAUGGAGAACUACUAUCUAGACCUUGGAUUUCUCUUCUGAGAGUUUGAAGGCACAUGUUGGUUAUGUUUGAAUAAGUGUAGCUGAAGGACUUGUCCCUUUUUCCAAUCAAAACAAAAAAAAUAAUAUAGCAUGAUGAUCAAGGUUUGCUAUGCCAGUCUAUACUAGUGUAUACUUAUACUCAGAAUGCCGAACUGGAUGCCAUAUAGGGCAUACCGACACUGUAAUAGGAUGGUACUGGUACAGAGUCCUGUAUCGAGACGACGAA
This 763-nucleotide long non-coding RNA is filed under the name Elaeis guineensis (African oil palm). RNAcentral describes it as "long non-coding RNA (EGUI_LNC026633)". Lineage: Eukaryota; Viridiplantae; Streptophyta; Magnoliopsida; Arecales; Arecaceae. The record is from RNAcentral.